UUCUGACCGUAAACGAUGCCAACUAGCGAUCCGCCGGUGGAUAUUUUGCCCUGGUGGGUAGCUUCCCGGAAACGAAAGUCUUCCGGUUCCGGGGGAAGUAUGGUUGCAAAGCUGAAACUUAAAGGAAUUGACGGAAGGGCACCACCAGGAGUGGAGCCUGCGGCUUAAUUUGACUCAACACGGGGAAACUCACCCGGCCCGGACACCGUAAGGAUUGACAGAUUGAUAGCUCUUUCAUGAUUCGGUGGUUGGUGGUGCAUGGCCGUUCUUAGUUCGUGGAUUGAUUUGUCUGGUUUAUUCCGAUAACGAGCGAGACUCUAGCCUACUAAAUAGUAACGGGAUUAUCAUUGUCCCGGUUGCUUCUUAGAGGGAUUUUCGGUGUUUAGCCGCACGAGAUUGAGCAAUAACAGGUCUGUGAUGCCCUUAGAUGUCCGGGGCUGCACGCGCGCUACACUGGCGAAAUCAGCGUGCUUUAACCAUUCUCGAAAGGGAUUGGUAAACCCAUGAAAAUUUGCCGUGCUUGGGAUCGGAAAUUGCAAUUAUUUUCCGUGAACGAGGAAUUCCAAGUAAGUGCGAGUCAUCAACUCGCUCUG
Molecule: ribosomal RNA, 593 nt
Filed under: unidentified nematode
Lineage: Eukaryota; Metazoa; Nematoda
Description: SSU rRNA
Rfam family: Eukaryotic small subunit ribosomal RNA
Source: RNAcentral